Molecule: RNA transcript, 2425 nt
Organism: Anopheles bellator
Lineage: Eukaryota; Metazoa; Arthropoda; Insecta; Diptera; Culicidae
Gene: bbc
Gene name: cholinephosphotransferase 1
Exons: 8
Source: RefSeq, a predicted model, not a curated record
AUCACACGAUGCGUGAUUCGAAGUGCCAUACGUCAAAAAACUGUUCCAUCGCUCGGAGGUGUGCAAGGUCCGCGAAUUGCGCGAAUUCUGUGCGAUUGUGGAUCUCGGGAUUUCCCCGUGAUUCGCUUCAAGAAAACGUUGUGAUCCUAUUGUCUCUGGUUGUGCCACUUUUGAUCCGACGCGAGCAGUGAGAGCAGUCGCCGAGCAAAGCCUACUUCUGCGUCUCCUGGUCGAAUGAUUCACGGCGGCAGGAGACGGUGAAAUUUCACCGAUCACCGCAGUGAGAAGAGCCGUCAGCAUAAUUGGCGAAAAGGGGCCCCCACGGAAAAGUGCCGAAAAGAUCGAGUGCGUAGACCCCCUGCCCGCCCCGAUCCGGUGUGUAGUGGAAACGUAAUUCAUCCGACACACGUUGUCAACGAAAGUGGCCCCCGCGAAAGAGAGGACGGUGGCCUUUGUUUCAUCCUUUAAAGGUGCUUUCCCGCUGGGUCAGUGCCGUGUGUGUGAAAAGUAAGAUGUAUCGGGCUGUGGGCGAAUAGCCGCGAACAGUGUAAUUACGAAGCGAAAGUUCAUUACGCUCACCCGGAAGCAACUGAAGAGCCUUUGGCUGCCAUCACUCUCCCUGGCCAUCAACGUCACGAAUAUUAGAUAGCGAGCAGCAUCGGCGCAAAAUGUAUUUCUACAAGCAAAGGCUGCUGCACACGACGCAGCUGAAGAAACUGGGCGACCACAAGUAUUCCUGCACCAACGUCAGCCUGAUGGAUCCGUUCCUGCAGCCGUGGUGGUGCUGGCUGGUGGCGAAGGUACCGCUGUGGCUGGCACCGAAUCUCAUCACGAUAGUCGGUCUCAUCAUCAACAUUGUCACGACGCUCAUACUGAUCUACCACAGUCCGAAUGGGCGAGAAGAGCCCCCAAGGUGGGCCUCGGCACUUUGCGCCGCGGGACUCUUUAUCUACCAGAGCCUGGAUGCGAUCGACGGCAAGCAGGCCCGCCGCACCAACUCGUCGUCGCCCCUCGGUGAGCUGUUUGACCACGGGUGUGACUCGAUUUCGACCGUAUUCGUUGCCCUGUCCGCGUGUAUCUCCGUCCAGCUGGGGUACUAUCCGCGCUGGAUGUUCUUCCAGUGUUUUUGCGCGAUGACAUUGUUCUAUUGCGCCCACUGGCAAACGUACGUGUCCGGUACGUUGCGUUUCGGCAAGAUCGACGUAACCGAGGCGCAGUGUACGAUCAUCACCAUCCACCUGAUCUCGGCGGUCUUUGGUCCUUCGAUCUGGAUGACAAAGCUGCCCUUGAUGGGAGGCAUUGACAUAAAAACGGUUCCACUGUACUUUGCCGUGUUUGUGUUCGGAUUGCUAGCGUAUCAGAACUCGGCCGUUAUCUUUACCGGUGGCGGCGUAGGCAAGAAUGGAUCGACCGUCGCUGGCACCAGUGUGCUGUCACCGAUCAUCCCGUUCCUGUUCGUCGUCGUGCCGGCCUACGUCAUCUCGCAGAAGUCCACCGACCACAUCUACGAGAACCAUCCGGCCCUCUACAUAAUGGCGUUCGGAAUGAUCACGGCCAAAGUGACCAACCGGUUGGUGGUGGCCCACAUGACCAAGAGCGAGAUGGAGUACCUCGACUGGGGCCUGAUCGGUCCGCUCUGUCUGUUUCUGAACCAAUACUUCAACUGCUUCCUGCCGGAGUACCUGGUCCUGUGGUUCUGUUUGCUGUGGUGCACGAUCGAUCUGAUACGAUACUGUGGCCAGAUCUGUCUGGAGAUUUGUGACUAUCUGAGGAUUGAGCUCUUCCGGAUUCCGUUCCCGCCGAAGCCGAUCAUGACAUCACAAGCGCUAACUCGUGUGUAACAUUCGUGUAUCCUUUCCGUUUCGUCGUCGUCGGAGGCCACCCGCGGAUUAAGUUUUUGCAUUUGCCCGCCAGCAUAGGGCUUAGGGCAGUAGGGACAGUUUAAAUGUUAAACUUUGGUCCCCCGACCAAAGAUGGAAGACGGAAAAGGAUCGAAGACGUUCAAAGGUUGUGCAGUAAUAGGGAAAAGAAAAGUGUCGAAAAGCGAAAGCGAUCAUAUACUGGUAGUGCCCCCCGGGGGGUUUAAAAGGAGGCCCCUGCGUCGCGUGUGUUUUAUGAACUUACGAUCACCCUAACCCGUAACGUCGGAACUGUGCUCCGCGAUGUAACAGCAUCCCGCCCGUAUCCGCUAAUGUUCGUGCGUAACCAAAGUCCCGUUCCAAAAUUGUUCUUGAGCGCGCCAGUGGGAAGAUAGAGCGCCAGUUUUGUGCGCGGCCAUUCGAAGACACCGAAGAGCUCCAGCAGUAUUCGAUGAGCAAUAACAACUGCAGCCGCAACCCAUCCUCGUACCCAUCGACCCCCGAGCGCCACUUGACCGUACCGCCGAGCCUAAGCCACCGGUCGGCUUCGGAGGACAGCUCGUCAA